Long non-coding RNA from Poecilia latipinna (sailfin molly), 385 nucleotides. RefSeq lists it as uncharacterized. The transcript has 2 exons. NCBI's taxonomy places the organism in Eukaryota, Metazoa, Chordata, Actinopteri, Cyprinodontiformes, Poeciliidae. The record is from RefSeq and is a predicted model, not a curated record.
ACACACAGCAGUCUGUGUUUAGACAGUUUGGGAUAGUUUGCUGUUCUGCAGUUGGUUAGGAAGGAAACUGGGAUUCACUCAGCUGUAGAUUAAAGUCUUGUUUGUGUCCACAUCAGCUGAACAUGGAGGAACUGGAGCCGUUUCUACACAGAUAUGUCCUAUUUAUCAAUGGAAUGACGCAACUCAAAAGCCCUGAAAACUCUGGAAAAUAUGGAAUAGAUCCGCAGUCCAUGUUGUGGUCGCUUUACCAAGAACCGACCACAAGAUGGAGCAGAACGGAGGAACCUGAGGAAAACCCGUCCACCUACCACUUCCUGCUGCUUAGAGACAAAACAGAGACAUAAAUAACUCAACUGACCCACAAUAAAUACCAGAAGUUCUUUUA